RNAcentral lists this ribosomal RNA (257 nucleotides) under uncultured bacterium. RNAcentral's name for it is "partial 16S ribosomal RNA". It matches the Rfam family "Bacterial small subunit ribosomal RNA", at positions 99 to 353 of the family's 1533-position model. The record is from RNAcentral.
CGAACGGGUGAGUAACACGUGAAGAACCUGCCCUUCAGUGGGGGACAACAGUUGGAAACGACUGCUAAUACCGCAUAAGACCACAGUACCGCAUGGUACAGUGAUCAAAGGAUUUAUUCGCUGAAGAUGGCUUCGCGUCCGAUUAGGUAGUUGGUGAGGUAACGGCCCACCAAGCCUACGAUCGGUAGCCGGACUGAGAGGUUGAUCGGCCACAUUGGGACUGAGACACGGCCCAGACUCCUACGGGAGGCAGCAUG